GGUUUCUUGGAUUCACAACAAUCUAAGGAAAAUGAUAAAUAGAAAAAACAAGCCAUAUGUUAUAAAAUGAAACAAGACACCAAGUAUACUGAAAAGUACCGACAUCUGAAAAAAAACAAGUACAAAAAGAACAAAGAACUGCAUACUGGGGUUUUAUUGAAAAAAUCAUCAUCAUAUAUUAGACCUACCCUUAAAUGAACCCAACCAACAGUGCAACAAUCAAUCUAAACCUAAAAAGCUAUUUUCCUUUAUUAAAUCACUGAGCACAGAUAACACUGGUGUCACACCACUGAAAAAAGGACAGUUAAUAGCUGAUACAAAGCAAAAGGCAGACAUCCGGC
RNAcentral lists this long non-coding RNA (341 nucleotides) under Mytilus galloprovincialis (Mediterranean mussel). The record is from RNAcentral. Lineage: Eukaryota; Metazoa; Mollusca; Bivalvia; Mytilida; Mytilidae.